GUUCAAUUUCAUAGUGACAGUGUUAAAAAAGUUCUCUAUUGGGUUGAGAUCCGGACUUCGAGCAGGUAUUUUGAAAACCUUCGCACCUACUUUCUCUAUAGCACGCAUUGCUGCUCUUGAGUUUUGGCGUGGGCACCCGUCCAUUAGGAAAAGCUUUCCCUUUGGAUUCGCUGAGUUUCGAAAAGCUUUCUUGAAACAACGCUUCACAAUUGCAGCAAAUUUCUCACCCGUGAUUGUUCCCUCCCACUGUUCACAGAGAACAACGCCCUUCCCAUACGCGAUGGCUACCAUAAAAUUUACAUUGGUACAGCCUUCUUUUUUCCCCUUUGCCGUGCACCUAAAGUUCAACCCCUCUCCGCGUUUUCUCCAUUGUCGAGCACGGGGUGCUCGAGCUUGAUCAUGUGGGUUACUUUUGUAUUCGAAGCCCUUACCGUCCAAAUACAAUGAAAUGCCUUUGUUCCAGAAAUCUUGAUUUAACUUUUUACGUCGGACUUUCUGGCAAAACCUUUUUCUAGCUUUGAGAUCAGCGGCAUGCAGUAAGCCUUUUUUUCUUGAUCUUAGAUAAUGGUAACCCUCUUUAUUUAAUAUAUUUCUGAUAGUCCUGUUACUAACAUGCGUGACACCACUUUCCAACUGAACACGUUUUGAAGUAAAAUUUCCUAAUUUUUCUCUGAGUUUUGGUAUAGUACGAAGUAUACUCCUCUCAUCUCGGACAGUUAGUUUCUUUGGUCUGCCCUUGUUCGUUUUCCUUUUAUCAAAGACAGGCUCGCCAUUCAAUGGCUUCUUAGCAUGCUUAUAGAUUGCUGCCUUGGAAUACUGUGGAAACAUUUGCAACAGCCUCUUACCUCUAACGUUUGAAAGUUGGUGUGCAACUCUGAUUUGUGCAGAAUGCUCAUGGGAAAUUUUUUUCAUCAUCUUGAAAAAGGAUUAAAAAUAUUUUCGAAGAAGGCAUUGUGACAAUUAUUAACAAAGCUUCAUAUUCGUCAAAGAAGAAAAUAGAAGCAAAUGUUACGACACUACAGAGCAAGGUAUACAUCAGCAAUCACUAACUGACAUGCUUUAUACCAUCAUCUCAUUUUUCAUACUGCAUGGAUGUCUUGGAAGCUUUGCAUGUUAACAAGCAUCUGCACGGACACAAGAAACACGUGAAACUUCCUUGCUGAAAUUAGUUAAUUUCAACUAAACAGGCUGAUCAUGCCAAUACAUUUAUAUAUUCCAAUUUUUAUUUACACAGCCUGCUCAAACCAACUUAAUCUAACGCCACAUUUGCUUGAAAUCGGUCGCAAUAAUAGGGCAUUGCAUAAAUAUACUUUUAAUGCUUAGAUGUGCAUGUACAUACUUCAACCAUAGAC
Non-coding RNA from Paramuricea clavata, 1352 nucleotides. The record is from the annotation of a GenBank genome assembly. NCBI's taxonomy places the organism in Eukaryota, Metazoa, Cnidaria, Anthozoa, Malacalcyonacea, Plexauridae.